Molecule: non-coding RNA, 30 nt
Filed under: Mus musculus (house mouse)
Lineage: Eukaryota; Metazoa; Chordata; Mammalia; Rodentia; Muridae
Source: RNAcentral
UGGCCUUUGGUGCUUGAGUAAGAUUCCACC